AUGAGGUGACAAUCAACAGAUCAG
This 24-nucleotide non-coding RNA is filed under the name Gossypium hirsutum (cotton). Lineage: Eukaryota; Viridiplantae; Streptophyta; Magnoliopsida; Malvales; Malvaceae. The record is from RNAcentral.